This 104-nucleotide ribosomal RNA is filed under the name Rhodonellum sp. Its description in RNAcentral is "partial 23S ribosomal RNA". It matches the Rfam family "Bacterial large subunit ribosomal RNA", at positions 2821 to 2925 of the family's 2925-position model. Lineage: Bacteria; Pseudomonadati; Bacteroidota; Cytophagia; Cytophagales; Cytophagaceae. The record is from RNAcentral.
ACUUCCGAAUAGGGCCGUCGGAGACGACGACGUCGAUAGGUUGCAGGUGUAAAGUCAGAAAUGACAUAGCCGAGCAAUACUAAUAGCCCGGAAACUUAAACCGG